AGAUAGUGAAACAUAUACAGAAAUAUUAACAAAUACAAAAAAUUUAGAAACCAAUGAAAAACAAAAAGAAAUUAAUGAAGAAAACUUAGAAAGUACCCACACAGAAAUAAAUACUCUUGAUAAAAAAGAAAAUGAAAAUAUAAUACCUAAAACAACAGAAAUAAGAAAACCUAUAUAUUAUAAGAAUAAGUUUAAAAAAUAUAAUGAAUAUGAUAAAUGGAUACCAAAACAAAUAGUGAAUAAAAAUUAUAACUUUUUAGAUCUAGACUGUGUAAUAGAUACAGAAAAAACAAUACAAUUAUGGGUAGGAUAUAUG
RNAcentral lists this long non-coding RNA (316 nucleotides) under Capsicum annuum. RNAcentral's name for it is "long non-coding RNA (CANN_LNC006953)". Lineage: Eukaryota; Viridiplantae; Streptophyta; Magnoliopsida; Solanales; Solanaceae. The record is from RNAcentral.